RNAcentral lists this ribosomal RNA (209 nucleotides) under Heliconia mincana. Its description in RNAcentral is "partial 26S ribosomal RNA". It matches the Rfam family "Eukaryotic large subunit ribosomal RNA", at positions 11 to 218 of the family's 3401-position model. The record is from RNAcentral. Lineage: Eukaryota; Viridiplantae; Streptophyta; Magnoliopsida; Zingiberales; Heliconiaceae.
GUCAGGCGGGGCCACCCGCCGAGUUUAAGCAUAUAAAUAAGCGGAGGAGAAGAAACUUACGAGGAUUCCCCUAGUAACGGCGAGCGAACCGGGAUCAGCCCAGCUUGAGAAUCGGGCGGCCGCGCCGUCCGAAUUGUAGUCUGGAGAAGCGUCCUCAGCGACGGACCGGGCCCAAGUCCCCUGGAAAGGGGCGCCGGGGAGGGUGAGAG